UACGGAGGAUCCGAGCGUUAUCCGGAUUUAUUGGGUUUAAAGGGUGCGCAGGCGGCAUGUUAAGUCGGCGGUGAAAUUUUGCAGCUCAACUGUAAAAGAGCCUUCGAAACUGGCAAGCUUGAGUGUGGAUGAAGUAGGCGGAAUUCCCGGUGUAGCGGUGAAAUGCGUAGAUAUCGGGAGGAAGGCCGGUGGCGAAGGCGGCCUCCUGGGCCUGCACUGACGCUGAGGCGCGAAAGCGUGGGGAGCAAACAGG
This 253-nucleotide ribosomal RNA is filed under the name uncultured microorganism. Its description in RNAcentral is "partial 16S ribosomal RNA". It matches the Rfam family "Bacterial small subunit ribosomal RNA", at positions 524 to 776 of the family's 1533-position model. The record is from RNAcentral.